Molecule: ribosomal RNA, 326 nt
Filed under: uncultured bacterium
Lineage: Bacteria
Description: bacterial SSU rRNA
Rfam family: Bacterial small subunit ribosomal RNA
Source: RNAcentral
AACGAACGCUGGCGGCGUGGAUAAGACAUGCAAGUCGAACGGAUUUUGCGCUGUAGCAAUACAGUGCAGAGUCAGUGGCGCAAGGGUGCGUAACACGUGGGCAAUCUGCCCUGGGGUGUGGGAUAGCCCGCCGAAAGGCGGAUUAAUACCGCAUAUGGCUACUCAACGAUUGUUGGGGACGCUAAAGGAGGUNCAAGCUUCCGCUCCGGGAUGGGGCCCNGGCCUAUCAGCUAGUUGGUGAGGUAACGGCCCACCAAGGCUUUGACGGGUAGCUGGUCCUGAGAGGACGACCAGCCACACUGGAACUGAGACACGGUCCAGACACC